This 253-nucleotide ribosomal RNA is filed under the name uncultured bacterium. RNAcentral's name for it is "partial 16S ribosomal RNA". It matches the Rfam family "Bacterial small subunit ribosomal RNA", at positions 524 to 776 of the family's 1533-position model. The record is from RNAcentral.
UACAGAGGUCUCAAGCGUUGUUCGGAUUCAUUGGGCGUAAAGCGCGUGUAGGCUGUCUCGCAAGUCGGGUGUGAAAGCCCUGGGCUCAACCUAGGAAGUGCACUCGAAACUGCGAGACUUGAGUCCUGGAGAGGAAGGCGGAAUUCUCGGUGUAGAGGUGAAAUUCGUAGAUAUCGAGAGGAACACCGGUGGCGAAGGCGGCUCACUGGCUCGUAACUGACGCUCAUGCACGACAGCGUGGGGAUCAAACAGG